This 379-nucleotide ribosomal RNA is filed under the name uncultured eukaryote. RNAcentral's name for it is "partial 18S ribosomal RNA". It matches the Rfam family "Eukaryotic small subunit ribosomal RNA", at positions 592 to 975 of the family's 1831-position model. The record is from RNAcentral.
CAAUAGCGUAUAUUAAAGUUGUUGCGGUUAAAAAGCUCGUAGUUGGAUUUCUGCUGAGAACGACCGGUCCGCCCUUUGGGUGUGUAUCUGGCUCUUUCUUGGCAUCUUCUUGGUGAACGUUGCUGCACUUGACUGUGUGGAGCGCUACCCAGGACUUUUACUUUGAGGAAAUUAGAGUGUUUCAAGCAGGCAUACGCCUUGAAUACAUUAGCAUGGAAUAAUAAGAUAGGACCUCGGUUCUAUUUUGUUGGUUUCUAGAGCUGAGGUAAUGAUUAAUAGGGAUAGUUGGGGGCAUUCGUAUUUAACUGUCAGAGGUGAAAUUCUUGGAUUUGUAAAAGACGGACUACUGCGAAAGCAUUUGCCAAGGAUGUUUUCAUUG